AAAAUCCGUNGACUUUUAAAAUCGUGAGGGUUCAAGUCCCUCUAUCCCCA
This 50-nucleotide transfer RNA is filed under the name Codonanthe serrulata. RNAcentral describes it as "partial transfer RNA-Leu". Lineage: Eukaryota; Viridiplantae; Streptophyta; Magnoliopsida; Lamiales; Gesneriaceae. The record is from RNAcentral.